CCUAGGGAGUCUGCAGUGGGGAAUAUUGGACAAUGGGCGAAAGCCUGAUCCAGCCAUGCCGCGUGUGUGAAGAAGGCCUUCGGGUUGUAAAGCACUUUCAGUGGGGAAGAAAGCCUUGGGGCUAAUACCCUCGAGGAAGGACAUCACCCACAGAAGAAGCACCGGCUAACUCCGUGCCAGCAGCCGCGGUAAUACGGAGGGUGCGAGCGUUAAUCGGAAUUACUGGGCGUAAAGCGCGCGUAGGCGGUCUGAUAAGCCGGUUGUGAAAGCCCCGGGCUCAACCUGGGAACGGCAUCCGGAACUGUCAGGCUAGAGUGCAGGAGAGGAAGGUAGAAUUCCCGGUGUAGCGGUGAAAUGCGUAGAGAUCGGGAGGAAUACCAGUGGCGAAGGCGGCCUUCUGGACUGACACUGACGCUGAGGUGCGAAAGCGUGGGUAGCAAACAGGAUUAGAUACCCUAGUAGUC
Molecule: ribosomal RNA, 464 nt
Filed under: Vreelandella stevensii
Lineage: Bacteria; Pseudomonadati; Pseudomonadota; Gammaproteobacteria; Oceanospirillales; Halomonadaceae
Description: partial 16S ribosomal RNA
Rfam family: Bacterial small subunit ribosomal RNA
Source: RNAcentral